AGUGAACGCUGGCGGUAGGCCUAACACAUGCAAGUCGAACGGCAGCACAGUAAGAGCUUGCUCUUACGGGUGGCGAGUGGCGGACGGGUGAGGAAUACAUCGGAAUCUACUUUUUCGUGGGGGAUAACGUAGGGAAACUUACGCUAAUACCGCAUACGACCUACGGGUGAAAGCAGGGGAUCUUCGGACCUUGCGCGAUUGAAUGAGCCGAUGUCGGAUUAGCUAGUUGGCGGGGUAAAGGCCCACCAAGGCGACGAUCCGUAGCUGGUCUGAGAGGAUGAUCAGCCACACUGGAACUGAGACACGGUCCAGACUCCUACGGGAGGCAGCAGUGGGGUAUAUUGGACAAUGGGCGCAAGCCUGAUCCAGCCAUACCGCGUGGGUGAAGAAGGACUUCGGGUUGUAAAGCCCUUUUGUUGGGAAAGAAAAGCAGCAGGUUAAUACCCCGAUGUUCUGACGGUACCCAAAGCAUAAGCACCGGCUAACUUCGUG
Molecule: ribosomal RNA, 492 nt
Filed under: uncultured bacterium
Lineage: Bacteria
Description: partial 16S ribosomal RNA
Rfam family: Bacterial small subunit ribosomal RNA
Source: RNAcentral